Molecule: ribosomal RNA, 834 nt
Filed under: Staphylococcus aureus
Lineage: Bacteria; Bacillati; Bacillota; Bacilli; Caryophanales; Staphylococcaceae
Description: partial 23S ribosomal RNA
Rfam family: Bacterial large subunit ribosomal RNA
Source: RNAcentral
CUGGGAGGACCAUCUCCUAAGGCUAAAUACUCUCUAGUGACCGAUAGUGAACCAGUACCGUGAGGGAAAGGUGAAAAGCACCCCGGAAGGGGAGUGAAAUAGAACCUGAAACCGUGUGCUUACAAGUAGUCAGAGCCCGUUAAUGGGUGAUGGCGUGCCUUUUGUAGAAUGAACCGGCGAGUUACGAUUUGAUGCAAGGUUAAGCAGUAAAUGUGGAGCCGUAGCGAAAGCGAGUCUGAAUAGGGCGUUUAGUAUUUGGUCGUAGACCCGAAACCAGGUGAUCUACCCUUGGUCAGGUUGAAGUUCAGGUAACACUGAAUGGAGGACCGAACCGACUUACGUUGAAAAGUGAGCGGAUGAACUGAGGGUAGCGGAGAAAUUCCAAUCGAACCUGGAGAUAGCUGGUUCUCUCCGAAAUAGCUUUAGGGCUAGCCUCAAGUGAUGAUUAUUGGAGGUAGAGCACUGUUUGGACGAGGGGCCCCUCUCGGGUUACCGAAUUCAGACAAACUCCGAAUGCCAAUUAAUUUAACUUGGGAGUCAGAACAUGGGUGAUAAGGUCCGUGUUCGAAAGGGAAACAGCCCAGACCACCAGCUAAGGUCCCAAAAUAUAUGUUAAGUGGAAAAGGAUGUGGCGUUGCCCAGACAACUAGGAUGUUGGCUUAGAAGCAGCCAUCAUUUAAAGAGUGCGUAAUAGCUCACUAGUCGAGUGACACUGCGCCGAAAAUGUACCGGGGCUAAACAUAUUACCGAAGCUGUGGAUUGUCCUUUGGACAAUGGUAGGAGAGCGUUCUAAGGGCGUUGAAGCAUGAUCGUAAGGACAUGUGGAGCGCUUAG